This 1214-nucleotide small RNA is filed under the name Arabidopsis thaliana (thale cress). Its description in RNAcentral is "ATSL182290". Lineage: Eukaryota; Viridiplantae; Streptophyta; Magnoliopsida; Brassicales; Brassicaceae. The record is from RNAcentral.
UCAAAGAUUUUUGGGAUGUUUACUUAUUUGAAAGAGAUAUUGGGAUGUUUACUUAUGGUGAUGUCAAAGAAAAAGCAAACGCAAAGAAGUUUUUGGGUGGUAACUUCCAAUAUCUCAGUUUGUGAUGUUUCCCAGCUUUGCUUGGUAAGAUAUGUAGUUAGAGCCUUAGAGGGACUUGAAAUGAAUGUUAAUAACUUCAAUAUUUCAGUUUGUGAUGUCAAAGACAGUUUGUCAAAAUUAAGUAUGCGUUGAAAGUGAUUAAAUCAAAUAAAGACUUUAUAAGUAGCCUAGCUUAGGGGGAUGGGUAAGUUAUUUUUAAAAUUGUUCCUCCAUUAGACAUGAUAUUUUCUUGAGACUUUGAGAGAAUGAUAAAUUUUGUAUACUUCAUACUUUUUAACCAACGUUAGUUAAUUUUUCUGCAUGCUAAAAUCGUCUAGCUACAUAUUGCAUUAGAUACCACUGGCACAUUCAUUCUGAUUUUGGUUGAUAUCAUUGAAGAGAGAGCAGACAAAAUAAAGUGAAUGUAGCGGUAAUCAGCUCACGUCUUAUUGAAUCAAACCUCUUGGUAAUUAGUUGAUUUGUAGAAUUAAUAUCAUAAAUAGAUUUGGCUAGACAUGUUUUCUAUAUAUAUAUCAAGAAUUCAAAAGAAAAAUACUUUGUAAUAGACGUAUACAUAAUAAAAAUUCUUUGUCCAGUUAAUGAACAUAUAUAGCAACUGAAUAUUAUUUGGUAUCCCGAUACAACAAACAAAACAAAGCCACAAAAAAAGAAACCUAAAAGAGUAAGAAAAGACAAAAACUAAAACAUAAAAUAACAGAGUAGAAUCUAAGCUGAACAGCUCCUGCAUGUUCAAAUCCCCCAUAAUAGAAAGACGUGUUGCUCGACAUCUUUGAUUUGUAGUAGUCGGAUUUUGGAUACUUGCCUCGUGUCCUCCAAUGACUCUUUCCGCUGCUCCGGUCUUAUGGGAAACCAAUCUUUCCGCCAAAGGAGAGGAUAAUUAAAAGAAGGUUGAUCUCUCGUAUGGAUGCAUUCAAUAAUGUCUCCAUCUGGACUCUCUCUAGUUAUAAAAAAAUAUAGUAUCAAUAUAAGUUGAAUAAAGAAGUCACAUGAACAGUUUUUAGAAAAUGUAGGAUAAGUGGUCAUGAGUGGUUUACAACGUGCUUUGAUGGUCAUGAGUGGUUUAUAAAAAAGAAUUAUAAUAGACAAUUUAUACA